UUGGUUGUGGCUAUUGUGGGAAUCCCCCUAAGACACAUAAGCCAAGCAAGAAACCCAAGUCACCAGUUACACCCAUUGUGAAACCACCACACAUAGUUCCUCCAAUUACUGUCCCUCCCAUUGUGAAACCUCCAAAAGUUCUUCCCCCUAUCAUUGUGAAACCUCCAAAAGUUCUUCCUCCUAUCAUUGGUAAACCACCAGUUACAGUUCCACCAGUUACAGUCCCUCCUAUUUUGAAGCCACCAGUUACUUUACCCGUUCCAAUUCCUCCAGUUACAGUCCCUCCCGUUGUGAAACCACCAGUAACAUUACCUGUUCCAAUUCCACCAGUUACAGUCCCUCCUGUUUUGAAGCCUCCAGUAACUUUACCUGUCCCAAUCCCACCGGUUACAGUUCCACCAGUUACAGUUCCUCCAGUUACAGUUCCUCCAGUUACAGUUCCACCAGUUACAGUUCCUCCGGUUCUUACCCCACCAACGACACCGGGGCAGGGAGGGAAUACACCAUGCCCACCACCGAAGUCUCCAGCACAGGCAACAUGCCCAAUUGACAUACUGAAACUGGGUGCAUGUGUUGAUCUGUUAGGUGGGUUGGUGAACAUUGUAGUGGGGGACCCAGCUGUGAAUGAGUGUUGCCCUGUGCUUCAAGGACUUGCUGAGGUUGAAGCUGCAGCGUGUCUUUGCACCACUAUUAAGCUCAAGCUUCUGAAUCUCAACAUUUAUGUUCCAAUUGCUCUUCAGCUUCUUGUUGCAUGUGGAAAGUCUCCUCCUCCUGGUUACACCUGCUCCAUCUAAACCACUUAAGUGCUUCUUCAACUGUGUAAGUCUCUCUAAACCCCCACAAAACCCUAAUUUAUGUUUUCUUUUACAUUGUCAAACAUCAACUCUUUCUAAAAUAGAAGGAGUAAACGGUCACUUUCCUUGUGUUUAUUGUUUUCAUUAAUAGAUAAUAAUAUGAGAUUCUUUGUUAAUCAUUUUCUAUAAUGAACAGUGAAACUUGUUAGGGUAUAUGUUUGUUAGGUAAAGUAAGCAGUAAUUAUCUAAUCCGUUGAAUAUUUAGUUAUUAAAAUAACUAAGUUAAAAAGACAACAAAAUCCUUAAUAUAAUUAGCUUUAGAUUCAAAUUGGUUGUGUCUACCUUUUCUAUUAUACUGCUCAAUCAUUAAAUUCUACUGAUCAUUAACCAAGUUUCUUUCUUUUUUGGAAGUAGCUAAUAACAUGCAUGGUUAUCCACUUUGUCUUCUAUGUUUUUUCCCUCUAUUUUAGAAAGAUAAUAGUGAUGGCAUGCAUAUUAAUUAAGCUUGUCGUUCUUUAUAAACAAAUAAAAAAUGAAGUUGGAAACUGAAUGUUUUAUUUAAAUCAUUAUCAUCAUAGGAUAUAUAGUCAUAUAAGUGCUGAGAAGAGGGAGUAAAAGGUUAGAGAUUUUCUCCAAAAACAAUACCUUUCCUAGCUAGCUAUUUAAAUAUAGAUUAUUAAAGUAAUCAACAUUCUAGUAUGAAAGUUACUGAUUCAAUUCUUUUGUCUUCCCUUUUCUUUUAACUGUUAUUAUAUAUGAUUGUGAACGUUUUGUGUUCAUACUAAGUAGAUUACAUGGAAUUAAGGAUGCAAGAUUUGAUUUGUAUUUCCAAUUAUUAAUGUUGUCCUAUUGUAUACCCGUGAACUUGAAUUCUUUGUCUUAUAUGAUGUCACUAUGUGUGAUUUGCAGGUCAAUGUAUUGAGGAAUGUAUGGCUGAAAUCGACAUCAGAGGGUGUCCACCACUCUUUCUCUCUCUUGGUUUAUGGAAUUGUUGUUGUUUGUUUAAUUUCGUUAUUAUUUGUAAAAAAGAACAUUUGUUUUUUAUUGAGAAUGUUGAAUGUAUGUCUAAUCCUAGUAGGCCAAGUAAAGUAGCAGCGAAGAUGCUUAAUUCUCUGUGAAUUUUAAUAAAAUUAUUGAUAUGAAUUUCACGUUGUGUCAGUUGUUGAUGAUCAGCUUUGUGUUCUAUUAUUGUGUACCAUAUUUGCUUCAAAUGGGGAUAAAAUAUUCUAACAUGAAGUAAAAAAUAUAUCGAGUAUAUAUCAAAAAUAUUAAAUAUAUUAUUUAUAUUACGUUUUUUAGAUAAUAAUAAUUAAAUAUAGGAGUCAUAAGUGGUCUGAUGAUGAAGAGAGUAAUCGUAAGGAAUGGAGUGCAGGAGGUUGUGGGUUCCAAUCCCACCAUCAAUAAAAAAAUGAGAGUCAUAAGGUGGUUAGAUCUUAGGAUGUAGGAGGUUGAGAAUGAAGUCUCACCCACAACAAAAAUACUAACAUACUAAUAAUUGCCGAUAAAAAAAUAAUGAUUAAAUAUGAAUAUACAAUGAUAGAAUGAGUGGUAGUGAAAGUUUGCACCUUUUAUUUAAAAAAUGUAAGUUGUAAUAUAACCACAACAACGAAAAAUACUGUAAAAAUGACAAAUAAAACCAGUAUGCUAAACCAAAAUUCACAUAAAUAGCAGUGUCCUAUAUAGGCAAAUUAAAUAGGGGGCACAGGCACAAAUAGUGGUGACUAAUGAUUUCAGAAAAUGUAGUAUCAUUCUAUUUCCACAUCUCCUUAAUGGAUAUACAUUUUUCCUAGGACGUAUAUCUUGUCCUAAAUAGUACAUAUUAUUGCAAGUCUACAUCACAAACGAAAAACGUUAUUUUACACUUUAAUAAAUACAAUAUUUGUGUGGACAUCGUACUCGAUAUUAGUAUUGUUAGAUACCAUUAUCUUAUAUACCAUAUGGAAAUUUAAAAUGUAUGUUAAAUAUGAAUGAGUCAAAAAAUCAUAUGAAUUUCUUAUUAUGAAUAUUCAAAUGACCGCAAGAAUGAAUGAAUAGAUGUAAUGAAAAACAAAAGAGAAAAGGUGGACGAGCCCAACCAAAUUGCUACAUUUAUUCGGAGAAAAAUUAAGAGUGUAAUAUUGCACUGACAGUAAAAAGAAUUUAGAGAGAUAAACGAUGAUAAAUGAUACUAUGAUAGUGUAUAAAAUUCAUACACUAUUAGUGUAUAUAUUUUUUCCUAGAAAAUUAAUUUCAUACGGCCUCAUUUUUUCCACAGAUAUUUUGAUUUCUGAACAUGUAAUUUUUCUUUACCUACCCUCACAAACAUAGAUGUAGAGCUUAUACAAGGUUCAGACUUUGAGAUCAGUUAUUACUAAAACACGGUCCGAAUAAGCCCAAAAAAGAUAGGGCUAGAGUAUUAUACGAUAAAAUUUAAUCGUCACUAAAGUGCUACGCAAUACAAAUUUAGCCCAGAUUAAAUCUGGACUUUUAUGUCUGUGUGGGGUGUACGGGCUCUACCCUUUUUUCACAAUCUCUAGUUCACUCUUCGACUCGCACAGUAACUAAAAUGUGGAUGAAAACGAUUCCCAAUGUUAGAGAUGUAAAGUGCUUCAUGAUUUAAAGCAUUCAUGACCUAUUAUAAUAAAGAUGAACAUGCAUAAUUACCCUCAAGUCAUAAUCACUGUCUCCACAAGUGUGCUUGUCUAUUGUACUACAAUGAGUGUCAUUAUAUGUGCCAUAAGAUUGUGAAUGAUUGAAAAAAUAUAUUUAAGUUAAAAUUUAAUUGUUAAGUAUUUUUCUAACCAAUUAUAGCUUAUAGCACAUGGAGUGAUACAAAUUAAUGAGACAGAAUAUGUUAUCCCUCUCCUCAAUUACUGGUUGAAACCAAAUUUUGCAAAACAUGUUCAAUAUCACACUUUGCUACCUGAUGAGCUUCUCCAUUGCAAUAAUGGAGAAACCAAAAUAAGAUUUAUUUUUCUAAAAAUAGAGAAAAGAAAAGCAGGUAACCUACCAUGAUGCUGGCAUCACCUGCCCGUACACCCCCACAGACAUAAAAGUCACUAUCAUUCUGAGAAUUAUAGAGUACAAUAAACUCUAUCAGAUUAAAAAUGGAAUUCCAAAGUAACUAUCAACUUUUCAGUUUUCCGAAUAUAUCAGCACAUGACCUCUAUUUUUGAAACAAAAACUAAAAUAGCUUCUAAAAAACACAAUCCGAAUCAGAACUACGCUACACCUCAAAUUUCAAAGGUGGGCAGCAUCAGCACUAAACAAAACACAGCCACCACCUAUAAGUGACCCUAAAUUUGAGAAUUAUAGAGAAAAUGAAUCACAAAAAUUAUUCUCUGAAUUGAACUUAUAUAUGUUACAAAUGCUAUGGAAUGAUUAAGCUACCUGCUAACUAUUACUGAGAGGUGGGCCAGGCAUGUAAAACCGCAGAAUACAACCCUCAAGAAGAUUUAUUCAAUAUUGUUCCACUGGGAAAGAGCCUAAUACGGCUAAAACGUUUUAAUUUGGAUAGAGCUUCCUGUGGCUUACCAAGCAAGAGAUCCACAUAAACUGCAGUAAGUGUGGCUUCUGGACUGUUUGGUGAUAUGGAUAAUGCCUGUGAAAUCAGUAAACUGGCUUCCUCAAGCUCACCCUGCAUCGCGGAUAUUGCAGCAAAGUUUGCAUAAAUUGUUGCCCGUGCCUCCUCUGGCUUGAGGAAAACAAUACUUUGGGUAUCCUCAAGACAAGAGUUUUUGGUUUCCAUGGACCCUCCUCCAUCCACCUCUUCAAAUUCAGAAGUCUUCUCCACUCUCCAUUUUUCACAGUCCUCUUGAUUGAAAGGCAAUAUAACAUUGUGUCCCUCAGACAAAUAAAAUGUCAAGAGCUUGGCAGCUUCUUUUGGUCUUUUCAGCAAGCAGAGAGCCUCUGCUGCAUAAACAUGGCCAAGAAAGAUGUAAAUUCUGGAACAUUCGGGAAGUUCUAAUAGAGAUUUUGCAACUGACAGUGCUUUCACAGGAUUGUCCAAUUCCAGCUCCACAUAAGCUAAAUUGGCAAGAACAGCUUGCUUGACCAAUUGGUUUUCUCUUCUACAGACAUCUUCAUAAUAGGACAGAGAGUUCAGAACAAGUUCUUGACUAGAUACGCCCUUUUGCUCUUUUGUGUCCCCAUUUGAAUCAACCUGACCUAAACCUCCUGCUACUGAAAAUGCCUUUGAAUCAAUUACAUGUAAGUUCUUAAGAUUUGAAUUCUUUGAAGAUGGCGAUUCACUUGUAUCAUUUUCCUCCACAGAAGAAUUAGUGGGCAAUCCAGAUUUCAAAUAAUCUGUACUAUAGGCUUCCAGCAAGUGCAGAGCAUUUGCGAGGCACUGCCGGGCCAUGGACAUCGAUAAGUUCAGCUGCCCAUCAUUGCUUUGACAACAAUUAUCCUUUUCAGGUGACUUCAUAUGUACAUUUCCUGGAAUCUGAUCUUCCACAACAAGUUGCCUCCAUUUUCCCGUCCCAACAACACAAACUCCAACAUCCAACUUCUUUGGAGGAACCCCAUCAGAUUUAAUUAGGCCCUUUUCUAAAGCCAUCAGACAGCAUUCUGAAAGUCGGAGCCACAAGAGAGGCUGUUUGUAAAACACCAAGCUGGCCUUCUGGAAACAGUGAGCAGCAAGUGUGGGUUUCCCAGUAGCCAAGUACUGCACACCACAAUUAUAAAUUAUAAGCAGAGAAUUGUCCUGAGAGAAAGUGGCAAGCUUCAACGGUUGGUCCUUCCGCAUGGAUGAACAAUUAGUUAAUGCCUUUGAGAAGAAUAACGAGGACGUCUGAUAUUUCCCAAGAUGAUAAUAAAUGCACCCAAGAUUGUUGUUGAAAAUGCUUGAAAAUGUUGUAUCUGUCCGAUUACUUGAUGCCAUCAAUAGCUUUAUCGCUUUCCCGUGGUUACCACGAGCAUAUUCAAGCUGAGAUUUCAAAAGAAGAGCCACGGAUGAAUCUCUUCCACGUGCAAUAUUCAUAACCAGCUUGAUUUCACGUUUCGCUAGCUUCAAGUUCCUCGUAAUAAGUAGAAACCGGACCUUGUAAAGUUGCAACUUAAGCUUUAAAUCAACAGUCGAGAACCUAUCAAGCAGAGCCCUUGAGAGAUCAUUUGGUGAUGGGCCCAUUGGCCUUGCUAAAUUUUGUCCACCCAUAUGCAAAAGCAUUGCUUCAUAAUCGAGUGUGUCUUCAGAUAAAGCUCCAGAUAGAUUAUUUUCAGAGGCAUUGACAUUUGAACUAAAAUCUGAACUAGAUGUAUUAGCAGCCGAUGCACAGAUAGCAACAGGUGCAGACUUUGUAAUAAGAUUUGCCGAUUGUUGCUGUGCUGUGUUCCCAUUGUCUCCUUGACGCGCACUACUAACACCAAAUGCCUUUUCCAGAUAAGCCAAAACAUCCUAAACAAACAGAUUCGAGCUCAGAACAAUGCACUUGUUCAAUUGCAAAGGCUAAAAAAUGAAAACAAUGAUCUUUUAAGCCUUCAUUCAAAAAACCUUAACCACACUGCAACACGGUGAAAUAAUACUUUCUAGGAUAAUUUUCUACACCAUAUUUUACUAUGGGAAACUAUCAAAGUCAACUAAACUUAUUUAGGAAUGUUAGAACUGAUAUUGUGGGUGUUUAGAAAAACAUGUUCCGUUAGCACUUGGCAAUUUAAAGUUCAACCGAAAACUCGAAAUAAUAUUUUUUAAAUUCUUGGGAAUAAAGUAGAAGUUUGUUUGAUUCAUUAUAUAUAUAUUCUGGUAAUACAUGUCACAUUUCUGCAAUAACCCUACCCUAUUAUAUAAAAUGUUUAUCAAAUAUCAUUUUUUAAUGCAAUUGAUAAAAAUAGAAUUAAGUACGAAAUCAAGGCGAAUAGCAAACCUGUAAUAUAAAAAAGUAUUUAUAUUUUUACUAAUUUUUUUACUUGUGGAAGUAAUUCUUCUGUUUUCUUUACAGAUCAUAGAAGUCACAUUAAUGACAAUGUAGUAGGCUGAACAUUCAUUUUGACCACAAUGGGGUAGAGUUUUCAAAAGGAUUUGGAUCCUCGCGUUUUAGCUCUUAACAUAACCUUGUUGUGAAUCAAAUCUUGAGUCUCUAAACUUAAGUACAGGUACAACACUCUGUACAAGCGACCACAUUCCCUGCACAUGAACCCAAUGCUGUGUCUCUCUUUUUCUCCCAAAUUGACAGGGCAUUAUGUUAGGACUUAGGAGAUAAAAAGAGAGGAACCAAAUCCUAACAAAUGAUUUUACAACCACUUUAUAAACAUUAAAACAUUUAGCAACCCCAAAUCAAUAAAUUCAUUUUCUUUCAAAGCCGACUAAGCAUAAUAUACAUGAUAUGUGAAACAUAAAGAACGCUUCCAAAUAGCUAUAAGUAAAGGUUUGAAACCAAGUAACUCAACAAAUCACCAUCCAAAUAAUUCAGCUGGCAUGACCAAUUGGUUUGAGAAGAAAUUUUUUGAGGUAUCAAGAUAAAUGAGAGGCCAAUGGUUCAAGGGAUGAAGGUAAAUUUAGAUUGUGAAUUGAGGACAGAUCAUGUAUAUAACAUUAAUUUAAUAUUCAGUUUAUGAACAAAUAUUGAAAUAACUAGCCACACACUAGUUACAAUGUACAAAAAGUAAUACACACAUUAACAUGAAAAUCAUGGUUGACAGCAACACAUUAAGUGACAAAACUUGCAACCUUCAGAGAAAGCACUAUAAAAUAGAACUUACAGCUGAUUUUGAUGCAUCAUGGCAUGCAAGGCUAGCAUCAAGCAGCAGUAGGCAAACAUGUAGAGCUGUUGUCUGCUUACGGAAAGAGAACACAGAAAACAGAGCAUGAAAAGCCAUGAAGACACCAAUGUAACUUUUAAAAGAAAAAUAACAUUAAAUAUAAGGAGUACCUCAUCUAUGGGUUCAAUAUUUUGGAAUAGGGGUUCCAAAACUGAUAAUGUCUUUGCAUAAUCAUGAAGAUGAAACCAGAUGAUGGCCUAUAGAAAUUGAAAUGACAAAAACACAUCAAAAAAAAUAUUAUAAUCUCAAAUAUAUUGCUACUAAAGCAACAAGUGAGUGAAAUAAACGAAACUAAUACGAGGAAUAAAAUAAACGUACAAUAUUUAGGAUUGCCACAGAGGAGUCAAACUCAUCUGUAUACAUUGUAGUAGUGCUAUUUGCAACUGAAAACUGAUUUGUCAAAGAACCACUUCCUUUGGAUCCUGAAACAACUCUGUUUCCAACAUCACUAACUGACUCUCCCUGCUCUCCAGAAGCCAAAGCAAGCUGGUCACUUUUGCUCUGUGAACCAAGUCCAUCAACAAAAAUGUCGUAUAAGUACAAAUUACAGAAAAGUAAAAGUUUGUUCUUAAAUACAUAAAAAAUGGCAGCAAUGUAAACGAGUCUCUCACUUAGUGCAGUAUGGGGAGGGUAGACGUAUGUAGACUUACCCCGCUAGCAGAGAGACUGUUUCCAGAAUUUGAACUCGUGACCUCAUAGUCACUAAGCAACAAUUGUGACCUUAUAUUCUUAAAUACAUAGCAUAUAUAAAUAUCCGUUAAAAACUUCACACAUAGAACCUUAAAUGAUGCAUGCUUUUAGCAUGUUUCAAAAAAUGAUUUUUAAAAAAGGGUAAAAAAUCACUUUUUAAAAAAGUGUUUCAUAAUAAAAUUAAAAACCAUUUUUAAAAAAAGGGAACUUUAAAAGUUACUUUUGAAAAAGGUUAUCUUAGAAAACAUUUUAUUGAAAUAGUGGUUUCUAAAAGGAAGAUUUUCUUAAAAGGUGUUUUUUUAGUUCCAAUUCAAAAAAUCAUCUGGAUCGGAUAUUCAUCCAUCCAAUCCAUUAAAAUGGAUUCAUGGAAAUCCAUUCAUUAAGCUUGGAUAUUGAUGGAUUGAAUAAUUUACAAUAUCAUUUAAUGGAUUUAUAUGAAUUGGUGGAUGGCUUUCCAUCCAUCCAUUAGGAUCCAAAUUCAUCCAAUCCAUUCAUUUGCCACCAUACAGAAAAGUAAAGAUGGGAGCUACAUCUGCAAUUCAGAUGAUCAAAAAUAGUGUCCAACAAAAUUUUAAAAACAUUGUAUUCGAAUUAAAUCCCUACUUUACCACUUAAUUAGUGGGACAAUGUGACAAAGCAUCUGCGAACUUAAAGCCCGCAUUAUUGAAAACUUAAACAAUACUGUGUAGUUCUAGUUCGUACAGUCUCCACCAGUGUUUCCAAUCUUUCAAUACUAUUACAUAUAUAUUUUCCUCCUUUGAGAAUAUUAUAAAUAAAAUCGAAAAGAAAUUAAAAACAAUGUCAUACACUGUAGCAUACUUGGUCGAAUGGGUGGUGAAAUCUUAUCAGCAUUCCUAACCGAAUGAAAGAAUCCAAACUUGGUGAUUAAAAUCAUGAUACCUGUCCGAAACAAAUAAUGUUUUCUACAAUUUUAAACCUCCCCUCCACCAACUGAAACCAAGGUGCCAAUUUGGGACCGUUUGGUUUCUAAAAAUGUUUUCUAUUUCAAUUACAUAUUUCAACUAUUAUUGAUAAUUACAAUAGUGACACCAUGUUAUCAUUCUAUUUAUUGUUAAUUAUGAAUGUGAUCAUAUGUUUUCAUGAUAUUUCCUAUUUUCAAAGAUUUCUGUAGUGAACAAUGAAAACAGAAAACACAAUGGAAACAUGGGGUCAAAUGCAUAAUAAAUAGAAAAUGGAAUGAAAACAAUAAACCCCAAAAGGAGAUGGCCCAGGGAUUUCCACCCAAUGAAACACCAAGGUAAGUGAGGGGCCAUUGAAGUCUACUUUUUUCAUUUUCAUUGAGCACGAUAUAUUUAUAUGAAUCGGUAUAAAAGCUCACAAACUAUUGAAUAUUUCAAGUUCACACUUACAAAUUGUUAGUUUAUUAGCCAAAUCUAGCUUCAUUUCCAUCUCAUCGUUGUAUUCUCAAUUGAUGUGACAUUGAGUUCUGGUCUAACCCAUAAAUGUAAAGAAAUGGUUAUCCACAAACACUAGCCAAGAAAAACAAAAGCUAUUGCAAAUCUGACACGUUGUACAUAUCCAGGGGAAAGGAAAAGACAAGGUUCAACUUUUAAAGCAUACCUUGACGCUUUUAAGUACUUCAAGCAAUUUUUUCGGAUCUGAACAAGCAUCUCGGAAAAAUUCGGCAAUUGCAAUAUUAUGAAGGACCUGAAAUAUUUGGAAUAAAAACCAAAAAAAACAUCAGGAUGUCGUAACAAGUUGCACAAGCAACACACAACCAUAAUGUUUGGUGUAAGUAUCACUACUCAGCACUAAAUCAACUUCAUGUUACACAAACGACAAAUAACCAUCCAAAAUUUAAACCAUCAAACAAGAAGCGUUGACAUCAAGAACUAAAACCAAGAAGCGACAAGUGAGCUCAAAAUUCCACUUCUGGUGAAAUCAUCCAAACAUUCAAAUUUUCCAGUUUGGAUCCACCGCAAGUGUUUCUUCAAGUCUUAAAAUGUUUCCCUGAUGUUCAAUUUUCCUCGACGUUUCUAACAUCGCAUAUGCAUCCACAUAAUGUUCCCAUAUGCAUCCACAUAAAGCAGCAUAUCACUAAAUAUCCACAGCUCAAUCACAUAUUCACUACCAUCAAGAAUCAUAAAAACCAGUUGAACCAAUGGUCCAAUGCACAUUAGCAUUUAUAGCCAAAGAAGUUACAAAUGCAAUUGCUUACUAGCUAUAGUUCUCCAAAGAUACACAAUUUUAAUUUCACCUUAAGUAUCACAAUUAAGAAGCGCGAAAAGCAAAAAACAAUCAAAACCUAGCAGCAUCCAGCAUUGGGAGGAUCAGCAUCAACAGAAAAUGGAAAGGGGGAAAUUACCUUGGGAUCGUUCUGCUUCUUCUGCAACAGCUGAAUCAAUACUUCGACGCAUUCAGCGAACUUUCCUGACUGGAAAUGCAACGCAGCGUCUUUGGCCAGCGCGACUGCGACUGCGAAAACGCCAUCGUCGUUGUCUGUGGCGAAAGAAGCAUCGCGGUUAGCGGAUGAAGACGGAGAAGACGUUGAUGAAUCUCGGUUUUCCAUGCUGAGAUCGAGUAAUCAGAAUAGAAAUCGAAUUGUGAGGGGUUUGGGGGAACAGAAAAAAAAAGAGCCCUAAAAUUAAGAGAAUCGAAGUAGAAUGUAUCUGAAUUGCAAUUGAAAUCGAAGUGAAAUAAGAAGUUAGAGAAACUUACAGUUCAGAAAAUUGAUGGAAAACCCUUUGCUUCUGAUUUUGAUUUUGCAGAUAGAGAAAGGAAGAGUGUGAGAGUGAAAACCUACUCGCCGAUUUGGGGCAGAUUCAGAUAGAAAGAAAAUGCUCAAGAGAUAGAGAGAUUUUUUUCAUAAUUAAUAUAAUUUUUUCUUUAGGUAUAUUUUUUUGGGUGCAUCCAUAAUUCCAUAUAUACAGGUGCAGGUUUGUGUAACUAUGUUACAUACUUAUAGUUAUAUGGUUUCUUAAUAUUAUUUGCAAGAAAAUAUCUGUGCUUAAACUUUACUUAUUUGAAAUCAGAGUGGAGUAGUUAUUAGGAUUGAUAUUGAGAACUCAUGGCCAAUAAGAGGAUGAUAUUUGGCAAGGUUUUUAUGAUUGUUGUUUACUUGAAAACUUGAUUUAGAAAUAUAUGUGAUCAAGUGGAAGUUCACACACAUCACAAUUUUAAGGUUUAACUAUAGGUGUUGUUUAGUACAAUCGAUUGAAAAGUUUGUUCAAUAUUUAAAAAUAAGAAUGAAAGGCUAGAGAUCAUAAACCAACAUAUUGAAGUGAAAGUGUUUGAUUAUAAGAUAUAAAUUGCUUAAUUACUUAGGUUAAGGAUUCCUUCGUCAUAGUCUUAAUGCAUUUAAAGCGAUUAAAAAUUAUUUAAUGUUUCUGAUUAUAACAUGAAAAUAAACUUCUUGAAAUUGUUGACUAUUUUGAUUGGUGCAUGUAGGAUGUGUUUUAUCAGGAAGUUAUUUAAGAAGAUAUCGAGAUGGGGUGGAACAUCGUUGAAGUUCAUCAUCACUAACGAUAAGUGAUAGUCCUUCACUCACGAUAUACAAAACAAAUAUGAAGAUAAGAACAAUUAAAUACUAAAACUAAGAUGUUUGAAAGAGAAUGGAAAUACUUUAAAGAAAUAGAAUCCUAACUUGUGGAUAAAGUGCAUAGUUUAGCUAAAGAAGAAGAACAAUAGUGGUGAGGGUUUCAUAUGAUUUUUACCCCAAAUAAUCUUGUGUCACACACAACUCGUGUUACAUUAGUAGCUCACAAUAGUGUUUUCAUUCUAGAGAUUAUGCAACCCAGUUGGGACAUGUUUCACUAUGUUCAUCUUGGCGUGGAGUACCAUGCAUUAUUAGUGUUGGGCUCGUCUAUGCAAGUGGUGUGUCUCGCAAACAUAGGUUUUAGCUUUUAAAGAAAAUCAUAUGAGAUGACAAAUGAAGUAGGUUUCGAAUAUGAUAUUGAGUCAGUAACUUUUGAUAUUGAUUGUUUGCCAUAAGAGAGACUCAAGGUUCACCUUGUUAAAUGUAGAUCAUUAUCUCAAAACUAUGUCCCCAACCAUAUUUCAUAUAAUAGAAUUUUGACACCUAUCAUAUGAUUUGAGCAUUUUCCCCUUAUUUAUUUGACUUUUCACAACUCAUUGUCCUAGCUAUGUUUACGAUGGAGAUAAAAUAUGGAUAUAUGUUUCUAACUGCUGCUGGGUAAAUAAUAGAUUGCUCCUUGUUUUGUGAUACAAUGUUCACCCUAGAAAAAUAACAUAUUGAAAACAAAUUGAUUUACACUGCUGUAAUUUGUAUCAAUACUUGUACUGUUUUUGGGUGUUAUUUGUAGGUCAGUGAUGAUUUUUCGUUAUUACUGCAUUAUCUAUAAUUUAUGUUUAAUCAUUAUUAACUAUUCAAAAAAUAAUACAAAUAAUAUUGUGGUUAUAUGAAAUUUUAUACUAUCAGCAUAUAAAUAUUAUAGUCAUCUAAAAUAAUUGUGAGAAUGAUGGGGUUUCAUGAAUUCACUAGCGUCUAUUCCUUUAUGAUUUUUAUUUUUGCGGUUGGGCUUGCCCUUUCCAAAAAAUAAACAAUUCAAUUCCUUUGCAAAAAAAUUUAUUCUUAUACUACGAAAUUACGAUAAAUUAAAAUUACUUGUACAAUAAAUUUAUUAGAUUCUAAAAAAUGGGGGAAAAGGCACAGUUUUAGACUAACCCAAUUUGUUAAACCCAAAGUUUACACUCCAAAUUUUUUAGCAAGGCCUAUUUUUUAACUAACAACUAAGAUUUGUUUUUGCGUAUGAACAAAAAUAACUUG
Molecule: long non-coding RNA, 12966 nt
Filed under: Lupinus angustifolius (narrow-leaved blue lupine)
Lineage: Eukaryota; Viridiplantae; Streptophyta; Magnoliopsida; Fabales; Fabaceae
Description: long non-coding RNA (LANG_LNC002032)
Source: RNAcentral